This 497-nucleotide ribosomal RNA is filed under the name uncultured bacterium. Its description in RNAcentral is "partial 16S ribosomal RNA". It matches the Rfam family "Bacterial small subunit ribosomal RNA", at positions 28 to 507 of the family's 1533-position model. The record is from RNAcentral.
GAUGAACGCUGGCGGCGUGCCUAAUACAUGCAAGUCGAGAGAACAGACGAGGAGCUUGCUCCUCUGACGUUAGCGGCGGACGGGUGAGUAACACGUGGAUAACCUACCUAUAAGACUGGGAUAACUUCGGGAAACCGGAGCUAAUACCGGAUAAUACAUUGAACCGCAUGGUUCAAUAGUGAAAGACGGUUUUGCUGUCACUUAUAGAUGGAUCCGCGCCGCAUUAGCUAGUUGGUAAGGUAACGGCUUACCAAGGCAACGAUGCGUAGCCGACCUGAGAGGGUGAUCGGCCACACUGGAACUGAGACACGGUCCAGACUCCUACGGGAGGCAGCAGUAGGGAAUCUUCCGCAAUGGGUGAAAGCCUGACGGAGCAACGCCGCGUGAGUGAUGAAGGUCUUCGGAUCGUAAAACUCUGUUAUUAGGGAAGAACAAAUGUGUAAGUAACUAUGCACGUCUUGACGGUACCUAAUCAGAAAGCCACGGCUAACUACGUG